Mustela lutreola (European mink) is the source of this 5989-nucleotide long non-coding RNA. RefSeq lists it as uncharacterized. The transcript has 3 exons. NCBI's taxonomy places the organism in Eukaryota, Metazoa, Chordata, Mammalia, Carnivora, Mustelidae. The record is from RefSeq and is a predicted model, not a curated record.
GGAGUUGGGGGAUAAAUAAGAGGAGACCAUUGUGUUGGCUAGAAGAAAAGCAGCAGGACUGACAGCAUAAGAUUUAAAAGUGUCAAGGUAACCAGUAGGGAGUGAGAGAAGCAUGGGUAGACAACAUAACAUGGAGACAGAUUGAGUGGAAGACAUUCUGGGGGCUUUAUAGACCAUAAAGGAAGGAAGAACAUGUGCGGAGCAGAUAUUAUUUAUCGAAAUACUCAGGCACCCCGUGAAUAUUAUUACUAUUAUUUUUGUUUUUCACAGUAUCUCAUUACAUAAAAAUUCAUGAUCUAGCUGAAGAUGAACUGUUUUCUCUGCCUGCUGUGAUUGGAAAUAACAGUUAUAAGAAAUGGAAAAGCUUCUAUGUGUUGCCCUGUUAAUGAAUUUUAAAUGUCGACUCCCAACACAGUAUAUGUAAUUCCAGAUUGGCUUUUCCAUAAUGCAGCCUUUGUUCUAGUUAUCAGUUUCAAAAUUUCUCACUGAGGAGAAAUGGAAAGAUUUUUAUCCACAUGUAGAAAGGUAAAAGAGGAAAAAAAAAAAAAGAAACCUUAUCCUUUGAAAUCUUAAAGGUGUUUGUGUUUCCUUCUUUGCUCUCUCUCUGCCUCCCGCUGAGCCUUAUAAAGUGCAUCUAGAGUUCAAGUGCUAUGGGAUGUGCACCUUGCACGUGCUAGGGACACAUAUUUUCUGGAUCUUCAUUUCAACAUGAGCUUUAUUUUUAAAAAGAGGCUUUAUCACUGUGGUUUCUGAUCUGUUAGUGGUGGUUCCUCUCACAGCAGAUCAAUUUCGUGGCUUAUGUACAACAUUAAUAAAAUGAAAUAGAUUGGACUAGAAUGAAAAAAAAAUCAGCAUCUUGCACAGAGGACAUUGUUUGGUGAAACAUCUUUUGUGCCUGUGAAUGUCUGUUCUGGAUCACAACCCGAAGUGUUUUGUUUGUUUGUUUGUUUUUUUACUAUGGACCACAUUAGAAGGGCUGCAAAAAAUGCUGCUGAAAAUAUAGUUUCUUUGGGAUACAUAGUUUAUCUUUGGGAUUCUUAGGGUGUAUUCCAUCUAUAAGUGUACUGAAAAGUAGAUCAAGUUGUGGGUUUGGAUGUCAGCUCUGCCAGUAACACCCUUCUGUGGGUGCCUCUACUUACUCAUCUAUGAAAUGGGGUGGGGAGGACCCGUAGGAUUUUAGUUGUGUAAGUUGGGUUAACCCUUGAUUCCAACUUUUAAAAUGUGAAGCUGGGGCACCAGCUUCUGGAUCAGUUGGUUAAGCAUCUGACUCUGGGUUUCCACACAGGUCAUGCAUGAUCUUAGACUCCUGCCCUGCGUUGGGUUCUGUGUUCUGCAGGGCGUCUCCUGGUCCUGGAGAUUCUGUGCUUCUGCCCCUCCACCAAAGCAUGCUCUCUUUAUCAAGUAAAUAAAUAAAUAUUUUUUUUUUAAAAAAGGGGAAGUUAAUUCAGCCAAGGCACGCCAUCUUACAGAUUAUAAAAUUAAUGUUGAAAAGUUUUCAUGACCUAAAUAAAACUUCUUUCCUUGGUUGUAGAAAAUCAGGUGACCUUAGUGAAAAGUCAGGUCACAUUCUAACCAAGGUAAGGGGCAAUGCAAACAAAAAUAAAAGAAGGGAAGAAAGAUUUAUGUGGAAUUUUGCACUGGGCUUCUUGAAACCAAUUGUAAGAAUGCUUUGGACUCUAUAGAGGCCCUGUGAUUACAGAGGCUGUCCCAGGUUUCCAAGAUGAAAACGGUUGCUGACGUUCCCGUUAUUACAUAUUGAAAAAUAUUUCUGUAGUCUUACUUUCAUACUAUGUGUCAUCCAAAGAAAACUGCUUCACGGACUUGGCUGACAAUUAACCAAUUCAUUCUAUUGAUAAAGGGCAGCCUAUUUCAGAUGUGUGAUGUUAAGUGGAAUAUAGGUUCCUUGUAUAUACCUGGAUUACGGUAAUUCUGUGUUAUGGUUAGUAUCACUGGAAUCAUGUAAGAUAUAUUAAAGUAAAAUGAAAUUUUUUAAAAAAUUGACCAGCUUUUGUUUUCCUAAGCCCUAAAUAAAAAUGAUGGCUUUUAACAUCAUUAAAUGUGGAUUUGUAAAGCAGUGUACGCCACAAUGCCUAGCCCUAUGUGCAGACGCCAGCAUCUCAGUGGUGGGAGAAACAGGUAACAAAUAAAUCUCACUGGGGACACCCAAAGCAAGACAGAGACCAUGACUGGUGGAGACCACUGACCACGAGUGGUGGAAUACUUACUGCUUUCCAGAGACAUAAUGGAGUAAGUCCUCUUGACAUGAUGAAGUGAUAUGAACAGAGACAUUAAUUAAGAAAAGGAGCAGCAUUCCAGGCAGAAGCCAGAGCAAGAGCAGAGGCUCUGAAGUGGGAACAUGGGGGUGCCUGGGUGGCUCGGUGGGUUAAGGCUUCUGCCUUCAGCUCAAGUCAUGAUCCCAGGAUCCUAGGACUGAGCCCCACAUCAGACUCUCUGCUCAGUGGGGAGCCUGCUUCCCUUCCUCUCUCUCUGCCUGCCUCUCUGUCUACUUGUGAUCUCUGUCUGUCAAAUAAAUAAAUAAAAAUCUUAAAAAAAAAUUGAAGUGGGAACAUGCUUGGUAUAUUUGAGGAGUAUCGAGGAAACCAGUUGGUUACAGUAGAGUACAAGACAGAAAGGAUGAUAAAGUCUGAGAAGUGGCCAGGGGCCGUAUUCUGGCCUUGUAAACCAUGCUAAUGACCUUGCUUUUUUUCUUCUGUAAGACUGAAGAAGGGAUCUAAAAGUUCUUAGUAGAGUAGUGGUAAGAUCUGAGGUUUUUUUUUUUUUUUGCUUUGUUUUUUAAGAUUUUAUUUAUUUGAUAAUAGCGAUCACAAGUAGGCAGAGAGGCAGGCAGAGAGAGAGGGAGAGGGGAGCAGGCUCCUUGCUGAGCAGAGAGCCCGAUUUGGGGCUCGAUCCCAGGACCCUGAGAUCAUGACCUGAACUUAAGGCACAGGCUUAACCCACUGAGCCACCCAGGUGCCCCUGAUUUUGCUUUUAAAAACAUCACUGAGGGAUGUCUAGGUGGCUCAGUGGGUUAAAGCCUCUGCCUUGGGCUCAGGUCAUGAUCCCAGGGUCCUGGGAUGGAGCGCUACAUCGGGCUCUGUGCGAAGCAGGGAGCCUGCUUCCCUUCCUCUCUUUCUGCCUACCUCUCUGCCUACUUGUGAUCUCUGUCUGUCAAAUAAGUAAAUAAAGGGGCGCCUGGGUGGCUCAGUGGGUUAAGCCGCUGCCUUCGGCUCAGGUCAUGAUCUCAGGGUCCUUGGAUCGAGUUUCGCAUCCUGCUCUCUGCUCAGCAGGGAGCCUGCUUCCUCCUCUCCUCUCUCUUCCUGCCUCUCUGCCUACUUGUGAUCUCUCUCUGUCAAAUAAAUAAAUAAAAAAUUAAAAAAAUAAUAAGUAAAUAAAAUCUUUAAAAAAAUAAAAACAAAAACAAAAACAUCACUGGCCACUCACUACCUGGAGCGUGGUGUAUAGGAAAGAAAGGAAGAAAAAGAAAUGAAGAAGGGACACCAACCAAAUGACUAUUGCAAAUAUUUGGAGCAGUGUUGAUAAUGACUUUGACUGAGAGGUGUAGAGCUAUUGGGAAAAAAUCUUAGAGUUUUGGUCUGGGAAAGUGGAAGACUUGAGGUGCCAUGGCCUACGUUGGGAAGGAAGAAGCACAUUUAAUCAGAAAAACUCAGAGUUUGGUUUUUUUGGAUAUUUAAAGUUUAAAGGAUCUCUUAGACUUCUGUCUGAUGAUCGCAUAUUUGGAUAUACUGGUGUUCAGAGGCAAGGUUGGCCACGGAGUUGUUAAGUGAAUAUUUAAAUCCCAAAGCUAAGUGAGGUCUCUUCAGGGAUGUAGGUAUAGAAGAAAAAGGACUGAUCCCUAAGCCUGGGGCCUCCAGCAUUUAAACUUCGAAAGAUGAAAAAGGGCCAGGAAGGAGAAGGAGAAUGGUAUAUACCCAAGGGAAUUGAAAGUAGGGGCGUCACACAGUUAUUUGUACACCAGUGUUCACAGUGGCAUUAUUCACAACAGCCAAAAGGUGGAGACAACUCAUAUGUCCAUUGCUGGGAAUGAAAUUCUAACUUCUGCCAUAGGCUCUAACAUGGAUAAGCUUUGAAGACUAUACAUGAAAUAGGCCAGACACAAAAGGACACAUAUUGUAGGAUUCCACCUGUACGAGGUAACUAGAGUAGGCAAAUCCGUAGAACCAGAAAGUAGAAUGGCAGUUUCCAGGGAGUCCGAAGAGAGGAGAAGAAGAGAAUGGGAAGUUAUCAUAUAAUGGGUACAGAGUUUCAGUUUAAGAAAAUUAAAAAGUUUUGCAGUUGAAUGGUGCUUGAUGGCGCAUAACACAGUAAUGAAUAUUGCCUAAGUUCAGUAACCUAUACACUUGAAAAUCAUUAAGAUGGUAAAUUUGGUGUCAUGCCUAUCUUACCACAAUUAAAAAAAAAAAAAAAGGAAAAGACAGAAGGAAUAACAAGUGAGGAGGAAGAAGAAUCAGUAGAGAGUAUUUUUUGGAUAUCUAAAAAAGUAUUUCAAGAAGGAAAGCGUAGUCAUCUAGGUAAAAUGAUGGGAUUUCCUUCUAAUUUUUUCCCCUCACCUCUUUGUAUACUUUCAAUUUUAUUGAAGAUACCAUUUUAUAUAUGCUUUGAUUUCCCCCCCCUAUAUUCGUAGCAUUUCCUGCUAAUAUCUAACAUCGGCUAUUUAUUUAAGGGUUGUCAGAUCCCAAAUAGCUCAUCAUAGGAGCUGGAUGCCAAUGUAUAAAUCUCAUAAUGAGCUGUUAUUUGGAUGUUCUACAACAGUGGUUUCAAUGAAUCAUCCAUGAGGCCGGGAGUUGAAAUGAGUGCUUUAUUUAUUGUCCCCCUUUGCUGAUUAUAAGCUAUUUCCCUGACUUUGUACAGAUUCCACCAUUGUGUGAAGCCACAGUCAUGAAAAUGUGAUGCAGACAUUUGAAGUUGAGGGAAGAAGAAAACCCUUUACCCAGCAAAAUAAAGGAUCCUCUCCCUCUCUCCUAGUCGCCGAGGAGCUCUACCUUUGGCCAGUGUUCUUGGUUCCACCUAUUUCUUAAUUUACCUGACAUGUGGCAAGAGUUUUUGUUAGUUUGUUGUCAUCCUAUUUCCAUAAAAGUAUUUAUUUACAUCUUUAGUAAAUGGAGAAAAAUAGAGCUUAAAAUUUCACAGAAUUAUCUCUGUGUAAUGGUUUUGACAGCUAGUCACAUUUAUCUCCAGAUGUAAAUUAUAUGGCAUGGUUCCUUUCUUAUGUUCAUUAAAUUCCAUAGAUGUCAGUGGUUUGGUUUCCUUGGAAACAAAAACCUUUAUAUAACUAGUUGGAGAUUUGGUAGCAGAAAUAUCAGGAUGAGGUGGGGAGUAAGGAAACAUCGCGAUGCUGAUUACCUCCCUCAGUAGGUAACUGUUUGCAUUUAAAACUCUUCUAUCUUUCCAUCUUUCCCUCAUCCUCAUGGCCAUUCAGUAGUGCCCAAGGGAAAAUUUUAAAAGUGACCAUUUAAGUAUAGAAUAUCUUCUAAUGGUUAAAAGCUUUUUACUUUUUUUUUUUCAAGUAAUCACAGAGAGGCUAAGUCUUUUUUGGGAUGUUGGUGUAAAUUCCCACAUUUGAGAAGAGUAUGUCUCUUAGGAAGAAUUGAAUUUGAGCAUUUGAGCAGUGCCGACAUAACUCAGUGUAUAUGCAUAUCCAUCUGUGAAGUACAGCUAACAGAACAUGUGUGUGGCUGAAUAAAGCUUUUAUAUUUUUUUUAUGAUGGCAAGUGUCUGUCUUAGUACUCUACUGCCAAAGAGUUCAAAAGGUCCCCAAAAGGUUCUGGAGAGGGAAUGGGGGACCACAGUUCUGCCCAGAGGUAAUAGCAGGCCAAGGGCAUGGCAGCCGUGGGCAUUCUCACUUGGCCCAGAGUCGACCCCUUGUUGAAGACAAGAUUAGUAACAUGAGUUAUCUAAACCGCUAGUCUUUUCAGAACCAUUUUGCCAUUGCUCCUAUCUGAUAUAAUUUGAAUCUAAAUCUAAACCCAAU